Triticum aestivum (bread wheat) is the source of this 1192-nucleotide long non-coding RNA. RefSeq lists it as uncharacterized. The record is from RefSeq and is a predicted model, not a curated record. The transcript is spliced from 7 exons. NCBI's taxonomy places the organism in Eukaryota, Viridiplantae, Streptophyta, Magnoliopsida, Poales, Poaceae.
GAUCCAAUUUUAGUUUUGGGGGAAUUAGAUUUCUCGCUCGAGCGAAAGAAGCAGCUUCUUUAAUCUCGUUCGGUUUUGAUGAUGGCAGGUACGCGGCGUCGUCGCCGGGUCGGAUGUCAGCGGUUACACCGCGGGCGUGCUGGCGCGGGCUCGGAACGAGGAGGGUGCCUCGACGGACAUGUUGGUGCAUGACUACGAGCAGGAGAUGGAGCGGGCGUGCUCCAGGGAGUUCCUGUGAGAGGAGAACCGCGUGCCAGCGUCCAGCACACGGUCGGUGGCCCACUUCAUCAUCUGCGGUGGCAGUGCCGUCCGCCGGGGUGCCUUCUGUGGCCGCGCCGCCGCCACCGACACCGCCGUGCAGCCAAUGAUGAUGUCGGCAUGUGGUGAAAAGGGGGGCCAAGUGAAAACUCGACCAAGCUAUAAAAAUUCGAACUAGAAUGGCAAAGAAGAAGUGAAAAGAAAACACAGAACAAAGGAUGAAUGCCGGAGAGCACUACUGUAUAUUUACCUCCAAAUAUGAUGGGAAGUGGUGUGCUUGUUUCUGUUUGCAUUGAUCGCACGGUGGCCACCACUUCACCACGCAUCUGACGACGACUGUUUUAUCCACGAGGUGGAGGAUAAGGUUGGAGAUUUGGGAUCAGAUGCUGCGCCAAGAACUUGGGACCAAAGUGCUAAACUAACAGUAGGGGGAGGGUAAUUCUUCAGAAAUCAAAGAAAGGUCAUUGGUAUAUCCCUAUCACCGACGAAGAUUUGCUAGAGAGGAAGAGGACCAAAAUGUUUUUUCUAUUGUUGGAGAUAUACAUAAUACAUAUAGAUAAAUUUGGACCAUUUAUAACAGAGAUUUCUUGCCCAAAAUAUUAACUCUGUCAAGCUGUGGGCACUGUCAAGGUAAUAACAGCCAAGAAUCAUAAAAGGAUGCACCUAAUGAGGGAGCUGUACAAAUUUGGAACAACUUCCAAAACAGGCAUUCAAGUAUUUUUGUCUGCUACCAGUAAGCUGCCAGAGCAAGAUAGCUGGGAUGUCGAGUCCCUAGGGCAAUGGUGAAUCACAAAUUGCUUGAUGUUCGAUGGGAAGCAUCAAACAAUACCAAUGUCGAGUAGUAAGAUCUGAUUGUUCAGCUGAUCAAGCCAAGAUAAGUGUUUGCACGAGGAGGGAGAAUGCCGGGAGCUGGAAUUCUGGGUUGAAAAAGGAG